ACGUACCUUUUGGUUCGGAACAACUGAGGGAAACUUCAGCUAAUACCGGAUAAGCCCUAACGGGGAAAGAUUUAUCGCCGAAAGAUCGGCCCGCGUCUGAUUAGCUAGUUGGUAGGGUAAUGGCCUACCAAGGCGACGAUCAGUAGCUGGUCUGAGAGGAUGAUCAGCCACAUUGGGACUGAGACACGGCCCAAACUCCUACGGGAGGCAGCAGUGGGGAAUAUUGGACAAUGGGCGCAAGCCUGAUCCAGCCAUGCCGCGUGAGUGAUGAAGGCCCUAGGGUUGUAAAGCUCUUUUGUACGGGAAGAUAAUGACGGUACCGUAAGAAUAAGCCCCGGCUAACUUCGUGCCAGCAGCCGCGGUAAUACGAAGGGGGCUAGCGUUGCUCGGAAUCACUGGGCGUAAAGGGUGCGUAGGCGGGUUUUUAAGUCAGAGGUGAAAUCCUGGAGCUCAACUCCAGAACUGCCUUUGAUACUGAAAGUCUUGAGUAUGGGAGAGGUGAGUGGAACUGCGAGUGUAGAGGUGAAAUUCGUAGAUAUUCGCAAGAACACCAGUGGCGAAGGCGGCUCACUGGCCCAUAACUGACGCUGAGGCACGAAAGCGUGGGGAGCAAACAGGAUUAGAUACCNUGGUAGUCCACGCCGUAAACGAUGAAUGCCAGCCGUUAGUGGGUUUACUCACUAGUGGCGCAGCUAACGCUUUAAGCAUUCCGCCUGGGGAGUACGGUCGCAAGAUUAAAACUCAAAGGAAUUGACGGGGGCCCGCACAAGCGGUGGAGCAUGUGGUUUAAUUCGACGCAACGCGCAGAACCUUACCAGCCCUUGACAUGUCUAUGACCGGUACCAGAGAUGGAACCUUCCCUUCGGGGCAUAGAGCACAGGUGCUGCAUGGCUGUCGUCAGCUCGUGUCGUGAGAUGUUGGGUUAAGUCCCGCAACGAGCGCAACCCCCGUCCUUAGUUGCUACCAUUUAGUUGAGCACUCUAAGGAGACUGCCGGUGAUAAGCCGCGAGGAAGGUGGGGAUGACGUCAAGUCCUCAUGGCCCUUACGGGCUGGGCUACACACGUGCUACAAUGGCGGUGACAAUGGGAUGCAAAGGGGCGACCCCUCGCAAAUCUCAAAAAGCCGUCUCAGUUCGGAUUGAGCUCUGCAACUCGAGCCCAUGAAGUUGGAAUCGCUAGUAAUCGUGGAUCAGCAUGCCACGGUGAAUACGUUCCCGGGCCUUGUACACACCGCCCGUCACACCAUGGGAGUUGGUUCUACCUGAAGGCAGUGCGCUAACCCGCAAGGGGGGCAGCUGACCACGGUAGGGUCAGCGACUGGGG
RNAcentral lists this ribosomal RNA (1323 nucleotides) under uncultured Afipia sp. RNAcentral's name for it is "16S ribosomal RNA". It matches the Rfam family "Bacterial small subunit ribosomal RNA", at positions 124 to 1480 of the family's 1533-position model. Lineage: Bacteria; Pseudomonadati; Pseudomonadota; Alphaproteobacteria; Hyphomicrobiales; Nitrobacteraceae. The record is from RNAcentral.